RNAcentral lists this ribosomal RNA (582 nucleotides) under uncultured bacterium. Its description in RNAcentral is "bacterial SSU rRNA". It matches the Rfam family "Bacterial small subunit ribosomal RNA", at positions 338 to 917 of the family's 1533-position model. The record is from RNAcentral.
CCUACGGGAGGCAGCAGUGAGGAAUAUUGGACAAUGGGCGGGAGCCUGAUCCAGCCAUGCCGCGUGCAGGAAGACUGCCCUAUGGGUUGUAAACUGCUUUUAUACAGGAAGAAUAAGCCUUACGUGUAAGGUGAUGACGGUACUGUAAGAAUAAGGACCGGCUAACUCCGUGCCAGCAGCCGCGGUAAUACGGAGGGUCCGAGCGUUAUCCGGAAUUAUUGGGUUUAAAGGGUCCGUAGGCGGAUGAUUAAGUCAGGGGUGAAAGUUUGCAGCUCAACUGUAAAAUUGCCUUUGAUACUGGUUAUCUUGAGUUGUAUUGAAGUAGGCGGAAUAUGUAGUGUAGCGGUGAAAUGCAUAGAUAUUACAUAGAACACCAAUUGCGAAGGCAGCUUACUAAGUACUAACUGACGCUGAUGGACGAAAGCGUGGGUAGCGAACAGGAUUAGAUACCCUGGUAGUCCACGCCGUAAACGAUGGAUACUAGCUGUUCGGGGCCUUGAGUUCUGAGCGGCUAAGCGAAAGUGAUAAGUAUCCCACCUGGGGAGUACGUUCGCAAGAAUGAAACUCAAAGGAAUUGACGGA